Molecule: ribosomal RNA, 468 nt
Filed under: uncultured Desulfobulbus sp.
Lineage: Bacteria; Pseudomonadati; Thermodesulfobacteriota; Desulfobulbia; Desulfobulbales; Desulfobulbaceae
Description: bacterial SSU rRNA
Rfam family: Bacterial small subunit ribosomal RNA
Source: RNAcentral
CCCGCACAAGCGGUGGAGCGUGUGGUUUAAUUCGAUGCAACGCGAAGAACCUUACCUGGUCUUGACAUCCCGGAGACCCUUAGGAAACUAGGGGGUGCUUCCAUCUGGAAGAAUCUGGAGACAGGUGCUGCAUGGCUGUCGUCAGCUCGUGUCGUGAGAUGUUGGGUUAAGUCCCGCAACGAGCGCAACCCUUGCCUUUAGUUGCCAGCAGUUCGGCUGGGCACUCUAAAGGGACUGCCGGUGUUAAACCGGAGGAAGGUGGGGAUGACGUCAAGUCCUCAUGGCCUUUAUGACCAGGGCUACACACGUACUACAAUGGCCGAUACAAAGGGCAGCGACACUGCGAGGUGAAGCCAAUCCCGUAAAAUCGGUCUCAGUCCGGAUUGGAGUCUGCAACUCGACUCCAUGAAGUUGGAAUCGCUAGUAAUCGUGGAUCAGCAUGCCACGGUGAAUACGUUCCCGGGCCUU